UGGGCGAAGCCUGAUGCAGCUAUACCGCGUGUAUGAAGAAGGCCUUAGGGUUGUAAAGUACUUUCGUUGGGGAGGAAAAAUAAAUAGAUAAUACCUGUUUAUCGUGACGUUACCCAAAAAAGAAGCACCGGCUAACUCCGUGCCAGCAGCCGCGGUAAUACGGAGGGUGCGAGCGUUAAUCAGAAUUACUGGGCGUAAAGAGCUCGUAGGCGGUUGUUUAAGUCAGAUGUGAAAUCCCUGGGCUUAACCUAGGAACUGCAUUUGAAACUAAAAGACUAGAGUAUCGUAGAGGGAGGUAGAAUUCUAGGUGUAGCGGUGAAAUGCGUAGAUAUCUGGAGGAAUACCUGUGGCGAAAGCGGCCUCCUAAACGAAUACUGACGCUGAGGUGCGAAAGCAUGGGGAGCAAACAGGAUUAGAUACCCUGGUAGUCCAUGCCGUAAACGAUGUCGACUUGGAGGUUGUUUCCUUGAGAAGUGACUUCCGAAGCUAACGCGUUAAGUCGACCGCCUGGGGAGUACGGUCGCAAGGCUAAAACUCAAAUGAAUUGACGGGGGCCCGCACAAGCGGUGGAGCAUGUGGUUUAAUUCGAUGCAACGCGAAAAACCUUACCUGGUCUUGACAUCCACAGAAUUUUUCAGAGAUGAAAAAGUGCCUUAGGGAACUGUGAGACAGGUGCUGCAUGGCUGUCGUCAGCUCGUGUUGUGAAAUGUUGGGUUAAGUCCCGCAACGAGCGCAACCCUUAUCCUCUGUUGCCAUUGGUUCGGCCAGGAACUCAGAGGAGACUGCCGGUUAUAAACCGGAGGAAGGCGGGGACGACGUCAAGUCAUCAUGGCCCUUACGACCAGGGCUACACACGUGCUACAAUGGUGUAUACAAAGAGAAGCAACUCUGCAAAGACAAGCAAACCUCAUAAAGUACAUCGUAGUCCGACUGA
RNAcentral lists this ribosomal RNA (934 nucleotides) under Buchnera aphidicola (Prociphilus erigeronensis). RNAcentral describes it as "bacterial SSU rRNA". It matches the Rfam family "Bacterial small subunit ribosomal RNA", at positions 372 to 1301 of the family's 1533-position model. Lineage: Bacteria; Pseudomonadati; Pseudomonadota; Gammaproteobacteria; Enterobacterales; Erwiniaceae. The record is from RNAcentral.